RNAcentral lists this Y RNA (114 nucleotides) under Microcebus murinus (gray mouse lemur). Its description in RNAcentral is "Y RNA (ENSMICG00000021434.3)". It matches the Rfam family "Y RNA". Rfam says of the family: Y RNAs are components of the Ro ribonucleoprotein particle (Ro RNP), in association with Ro60 and La proteins. The Y RNAs and Ro60 and La proteins are well conserved, but the function of the Ro RNP is not known. The record is from Rfam by way of RNAcentral. Lineage: Eukaryota; Metazoa; Chordata; Mammalia; Primates; Cheirogaleidae.
GGCUGGUCUGAAGAUAGUAAGUUAUCUCACUUGAUUGUUCAUAGUCAGUUACAGAUUGAACUCCUUCUUCUACUACUUUCCCACCUUCUUUCUACUACACUUGACUAACUCAAA